Molecule: ribosomal RNA, 492 nt
Filed under: uncultured bacterium
Lineage: Bacteria
Description: bacterial SSU rRNA
Rfam family: Bacterial small subunit ribosomal RNA
Source: RNAcentral
GACGAACGCUGGCGGCGUGCCUAAAACAUGCAAGUCGAACGGUGUAAGCAAUUACACAGUGGCGAACGGCGGAGUAAUACAUAAGCAACGUGCCCCGAAGACUGGGAUAGCCAGCCGAAAGGCUGAGUAAUACCGGAUGUGGCCCUCUUUUGGCAUCUUAAGAGGAUUAAAUGGUUUUUCGCUUCGGGAGCGGCUUAUGGCCUAUCAGGUAGUUGGUGAGGUAACGGCUCACCAAGCCGACGACGGGCAGCGGGUCUGAGAGGAUGAUCAGCCACACUGGGACUGAGACACGGCCCAGACUCCUACGGGAGGCAGCAGUGGGGAAUAUUGGACAAUGGGCGCAAGCCUGAUCCAGCAAUGCCGCGUGAGUGAGGAAGGCCUUAGGGUUGUAAAGCUCUUUCACCCGCGACGAUGAUGACGGUAGCGGGGAAGAAGAAGCCCCGGCUAACUUCGUGCCAGCAGCCGACCGUAAAACUAAGACUGCCAAGGCAC